UGUGAGCGCUGGCUUGCCUGCGAUGACGGUGAGUCACCCAACCUUCUGGGUGACUGAUACACCGCUAUCGCAGGCAAGCCAGCGCCCACU
RNAcentral lists this non-coding RNA (90 nucleotides) under Pseudomonas lurida. The record is from RNAcentral. Lineage: Bacteria; Pseudomonadati; Pseudomonadota; Gammaproteobacteria; Pseudomonadales; Pseudomonadaceae.